This 6454-nucleotide long non-coding RNA is filed under the name Sus scrofa (pig). RNAcentral describes it as "lncRNA (ENSSSCG00065012735.1)". The record is from RNAcentral. Lineage: Eukaryota; Metazoa; Chordata; Mammalia; Artiodactyla; Suidae.
AAAGUAAAUAAAUAAAUACAAAUAAAUAAAAUUUCCAUAUACCACAGGUGUGGUCACAAAAAUGUAAUAAUAAAAUAGUAAAAAAUAAAAUAACAUAAUAAAAAAUAAAACUUGAUGUGAUGCUGGGACGAUGAAACAUUAUUUGACGGUGACGACAGUGACGAUGAGGACAGCUGUUACGAUGACGGCCGUGGUGACAGUGACACCCUCUCUCUCACAGGAUCACUGCGCGGUUGAGACCUAAUCCAUGCAGCGUACCCAGCGCAGAGCCUGGCCUGUUAAGUUUCAGAUGCCCGUACCUUCUCUCCCAGACCUUCUGCUCUUUUCUUUUGGAUUGUCUUUAUUUGGGUAUUCAUACAUAUAUCAGUUUUAUGUUUCUGCUGUGCCAAAUAGUUACAACGCUGAUGAUUUAAAACAGUGCAUCUUUAUUCUCAUAUGGUCUGAAGGUGAGAGGUCUAAAAUCAGGUUCAUGGGCCGACAUCGGUGUGUCGGAAGAAAUGUGUUCCCUCCAGAGCCUGUGGGAGAGCGGCGGUGCCCUUGUCUGGACUUGCUUUGGAGCUCCCUCCUUGUUCCUAGGGUGGGCUCGUAUCACUGUAAACAUCCCUCUCACAGCUGCGUUUGCUGCAUCCCGAAGGUUUUGGAUUGUUGUGUUUUUGUUUACAUUUGUCUCUAGGAAUUUUUCGAUUUCUUCAGUGAGCCAUUGGUGGUCUAAUAACAUAUUGUUUAACCUCCAUGUGUUUGUGUUUUUUACCCCUUUUUUUUUUCUUGUAGUGGAUUUCUAAUCUCAUAGCAACUUGGUCAGAAAACUUACUUAAUAUGAUUUCAGUUUUCUUAAAUAACUGAGACUUGGUUUGUGGCCCAUCAUGUAAUCUGUCCUGGAGAAGUUUCCAUGUGUGCUUUCGAAGAAUGUGUAUUCUGCUGCUUCUAGAGGAAAUGCUAUAUAAAUAUCAAUUAAGUCCAUCUGUUCUAAUGUGUCAUUUAAGACCUGUGUUUUCUUAUUGAUUUUCUGUCUCGAUGAUCUGUCCAUUGAUGUAAGUGGGGUGUUAAAGUCCCCCUGCUAUUAUUGUGUUACUGUCUAUUUCCCCUUUUAUGUCUCUUAGCAUUUGUCUUAUAUGUUGAGGUGCUUCUGUGUUGGGUGCAUACAUAUUUACAAUUGUUACCUUUUUUGGAUUGAUUCCUUGAUCAUUCUGUAAUGUCCUUCUUUUUCUCUUACAAUGGUCUUUAUUUUAAAGUCUGUAUCGUUUGCUAUGAGUAUGCUAUUCCAGAUUUCUUUUGAUUUCCAUUUACCUGGAAUACCUUUUUCCAUCUCUUCACUUUCAGUCUGUAUAUGUCCCCAGAUCUGAAGUGGGGAGACAGCAUAUCUAUGGAUCUUAUUUUUGUAUCCAUUCAGCCAGUCUGUGUCUUUUGGCUGGAGCAUUUAAUCCAUAUACAUUUAAGCAGUUAUUGAUAUGUACGUUUUUAUUGCCAUCUUGUUAAUUGCUUUGGAUGUGUUUUUAUAGGACUUGUUUCUUCCCUUCCUCUUUUGUUCUCUUGUGAUUUAGUGACUAUCUUUAGUGCUGAGUUUGGACUUUCUUUUUUGUGUGUGUAUCUGUUGUAGACUUUUGGUUUGCACUUGCCACAGGGUUUUGACAGACUGUAUACAUAACCUUUGUUUUAAAUUACUGGUCUCUUAGUUUCAGAUCCAUUUCCAAUAUCCUGUAUUUGUACCCUCCUUUUCUCAUGCUUGCUGGUUUUGAUAUUGGCUCCUAGCUCCUACCUCUACCUUUAAAGCCUGCAGGUAGCAUCUUUUUUCAUUGGUCUCCUUGUUUUCCUCUUCUAUCUCAAAUCUCCAUCUGCCCCUCUCUCGUAAGGACAUUUGUGAUUGCAUUUAUGGCCGACCAAGGUAAUCCAGGAGAGCUUCCUCAUUUCAAGGUCUUUAACAUAAUCCCAUCUGCACAGUUCUUGUGGCCGUGUGAGAAGACGUUCACUGGCUCCAGGGGUUAAGACCUGUGUAUCUUUGGGGGCCUGUUAAACAGCCUACCGCCAUAAGAAUAGAGUACAUUGAAAAUGCAAACACUUUAUAAUGGCACCAGUUCAGUCCAAAAUAAAACCAUCAUGCUCAGCAAAGUCGUAUUUCACAUAAUGUCCCUCACUAACUUAAAAAUGUAAUGAUUAUACAGAAUAGAGUGCUGUGAAAUCAAUUCCCUGGGCUUGGUCUGCUGGAACUUCCUUGGAAGCCACUAGUAGUGCCAGUAGUAGAGGCUCAAGCUGGUUGGAAGUUAUAUAUUCUACAUCCUUAGAUUACCUUGGGCUUCAACUCCAGAUGCUGUGUGGGGUUUACAGGUGUAUAGAAAGAUGCGAAGCGCACACACUGGAGUUACGCAGCGCACAGCGUGCGUGGCCGUGAAUGGUGGGCUCUUUGUGAUGCCCACCAGACCAUACACUCCAGAAACACGUGGCCCCAUCUCGUAUCCCCAUUACCCACUGCAGUGCCAGGCACAGGACAGGCAUUUUUAUUUAUGUAAACAAAGGAAUGAAAAGAUGGCUAUUCAGUCAGUUACCACCAAGUAGCUUCCCAUCUGUGGUACCCAGAAGGGUAGUUUUCUCAGCAUUGGCUGCGCAUUAGAAUUACCUGAGAAAUAUAUUUAAAAAGAAAGUUCUGGUCCUGGACUCUGUUCACAGAGGUUCUUAUUUAUUUGGUCUGGGAGGGGCCAUGUUACUAUUUUUUUUUUUUUUAAUAUCCCUGGUGACUUUAUUAUGCAUGUAGGUAGCUAACCAUCAGUCUAGAAAGUAGUUCUCAAACUUCAGUUUCCAUCAGAAUCACCUGGAGGUCUCAUUAAAACACAGAUUUUCUGCUUCCAUAGGCUGGGAUUGGGGGCUGUGGUAUAUAUUCCUAAGAAGCUCCCAGGUCAGGCUGAUGCUGUUGUUAUGGGGACCAUACUUUGAGAACCACUGCUCUGGAGGGUAGUAGGUAAGUCCCUUCAAUGUACACUGGGCCAAAUAGUUGGGGAGCACUUCUGGACUUAGGGUGUGUGUGUGUGUGUGUGUGUGUGUGUGCGUGCGUGUGUGCGUGUGUGUGCGUGUGCGCGCGCGCACACAGAUUCAGAGGAUGUGAAUCACCCACUCUGCAUUUUAAAUCUCUAAUCUUAUUCCUUCUAUCCAGCAGCCUUUCAAGGUAGGCAUGUUUCACUUUCAGUGUUUUUAGGUGGCAAACUGGAAAAUCAGGGAUAUGAGUUUUGCUUGAAUCCUGCUUCAUCUUUUCAGUCCGUCACAAAGUCACACUCUUGAGAAGGCUAGAGAAAGUUUCACUAUUUUGUGUUCCUCUUCUUUCUCCUUUUCUGGUCACGUCUCUGCCCUGAGCUUGGGUGAGUGCCGGGAGGGACCCUUGGAGCUGACCCUCGUCCCCACUAAGUCUGUGUAAGGGGCAGAGCCCCUGUCCUCCCUGCAGGACACAGGGUGGCUGCUUGGCUAAGAUGCCUCGAAUUGAAUCGAUUUGACUAGAGAUUGACACGCUGACUAAACUAGACUUGGGAAACGACAGAAAUUUGAGAUUGGCUAAGCUUAUCAUCAUCCUCAACCUGCGAUUUUGACUAGGACCUUGUAAAUUACAGAAGAUAUUUUCAGGACCAUACCACCCAUCUCAAAGCCUCAAGGCAAAACUUCCCAGCAGUUACUCCCUGCUGGCUGCCCUCCCUAUUCUUCCGAACCCUCCUCUCCCCACACCUCCCAGCGUCCCUGCCGCCCAGAAGUCUGUGGUUCCCAUUCUGCCUUGUUUGGGUCACAAACCUCGAGUCCAUCCAGAUGGAUCCCAAGCCUCCCUUCCAUCCACUUUACCCAAACUGAAACCACAGCAGCAUUCAGCUGGGGCAGGUGAUUUGAUUAAAGUCAUUUGCACUCUGAUGUAAAUGGGGCUUGAUGCCCCGUGGAAGUCUUGACUUUUAAAGAGGAGCUUGUAAUGACUCGUCUCUCUGGGGCUCUUUUGCGUUAGGGGACACACCUGUGGAGAGCAAGUGCUGUGGAAAAUUUCCUGACCUCCUGGCCUGGGCUGUCCUUUGUUUGGUGUCGGCUAAACACAGAGUUUUAGGCUUCUGACCAAAACCAUCCAUCCUCUCUGCUCCUUUUAGCUUUGCAAGGAGGUGGCAGUGAGACUUGUGCUACGUGGGCCGGCGUGGCUCAGAGAAAACUGUGAAUGUUUGAGACUUCACAUCUCAAAUCUGGAAGAGGCCUUCCGUGUCAGUUUUCUUCUCCUUGCAAGGACUUUACAGGGCAGAAUUUCAGGUAUUUGAAGCUGUCGUUUUAAAGGGUCGUUGGCUCCAGGGGUUUCCUCUGCUCACAUCCCAGGGUCCUCACCAUUCUUGGGACAGAGACUAGUAAAGGAUAAAGGUUUGCUGUGACUCUUGAUCGAAAGGUUGGUGGGAAGACGCCUUGCCGCCCCAUCUCCCAGAGAUGGUCUUUCCACCUGCGACAAGCGGCUGCCCACUGAAAAUCAUGUCUGAGGACCGUAGGCGAGAGUGCGCCCAGCAGUGGAGACUAAACUGCCUGCCAGGUGCAGGAGGUUUUCAUUGCUCGAGGAAACUGUAACCUACACAGUUUAAGCAAUGCCGUGACUGCGGGAAAUAAAAGGGACCUUUUGUCCUCAGCAUUUCAGACCCAGUUGAGCCUCCCAGCCCCCACCAGAUUCUUACAAAGAGGCUCUAAUCACCAGUAUCUCAGGAUGUGACUGGAUUUGGAGAUAGGCCUUUAAAGAGAUAAUUGGGUUAAAGUGACGUCAUUACAUUGGACCCAGAUCCAGUGCGAUGGGUGUCCUUAUAGAAUGAGGAGCCUGCGGGUUUGGGAUUGGCAUAUGCAUGCUGAGGUACCUGGAAUGAUGGGCCAGUGGGUCCUGCUGUACAGCACAGAGAACUCUACCUAAUACUAUGUGAUAAUCUAUGAGAGAAAAAGAAUUUGAAAGAGAAGGAUGCAUGUGCAUGUGUAACAGUCACUUAGUUGUCCAGCAGAAAUGAUCUCAACCUUGUUAAUCAACUCUACUUCAGUAAAGCUUUGAAUUAGUGAGCUGGACGGGGAGUUUGGGCUGGGAGAGGCAAACUGUUGCAUUCAGAGAUCUCACUGCUCAUCCACUCCAAAUGCAAGAGUUUGCAUCUACUAGCCCCAAACUCCCCAUCCAUCCAACCCUCCCCCCGACCUCGGCAACCACAAGUCUGUUUUCCAUGUCCAUGAGUUUGUUUUUUUUUUCUGUAGAUAGGUUCAUUUGUGCUAUAUAUUAGAUUCCAGAACACUCCCAAAGACAUGCUGUGAAGCCACCAUCACCCUAAUCCCAAAACCAGAGAAAGAUACUACUAAAAAAGAAAAUAUAAACCAAUAUCUUUGAUGAAUGUAGAUGCAAAAAUUCUCAAAAAAAUUUUAGCCAACCGAGUCCCACAACAUAUAAAAAAGAUCAUACACCAUGACCAAGUGGGAUUCAUCCCAUGUUCACAGGGAUGGUUCAACAUAUGCAAAUCAGUCAAUGUCAUACACCACAUUAACUAAAUAAGUCAAAAACCACGUGAUCAUCUCAAUAGAUGCAGAAAAAGCAUUUGACGUUUACAUACAAACACUUCAGUCAGUGAAAGCGCAAUACACACUCUCUUCAAGAACACAGUUUACCAUAAUAAAUCAUAUUAUGAAGUCUCAGAUGAAGUUUUAAAAAAUUAAGUCAUAUAAAAUAUGUUCUUUUCUUUUUUUUUCCUUUUUACAGAUGCACCUACAGCAUAUGGCAGUUCCUGGCCUUGAGGUCAGAUUGAAGCUGUAGCUACCAGCCUAUGCCACAGUCAAAGCGACACCAGAUCUGAGCCACAUCUGUGGCCUCUGCUGCAACUUCCGGCAGUGCUGGAUCCUUAGCCACUACCUGAGGCCAGGGAUUGAACCCGAAUCCUUAUGGACACUAUGUCAGGUUCUUCACCUGCUGAGCCACAGUAGGACCUCCUAAGGUAUGUUUUUUGACCACAAUAGAAUUAAAUUAGAAACACUAACAAUAAGAUAUCUGUGAAAUCCCCCAAAAUUUGGAUACUAAAUAACACAUUUCUAAAUAAUCUGUGUCAAAGAAAAAGCUGAAGAUAAAUGAGAAAGUAUUUUGAAAAGAAUACAACUACAAUAUCUGAGAAUUUGGGGAAUAGCACUAAAGUAGUGCUUAGGGGGAGAAAUUUGUGGUUCUAAAAACUGACAUUAGAAAUGAAAAGUGGAGUUCCCAUCGUGGCUCAGUGGUUAACGAACACGACUAGGAUCCAUGAGGAUGCGGGUUCAAUCCCUGGCCUUGCUCAGUGGGUUAAGGAUCUGGCGUUGCUGUGAGCUGUGGUGAAGGUCACAGACAUGGCUCGGAUCUGGUGUUGCUGUGGCUCUGGUGCAGGCUGGCGGCAACAGCUCCGAUUUGACCCCUAGCCUGGGAACCUCCAUGUGCUGUGCCCAAAAAUGACCAAAAAAAAAAAAAAAAAAAAAAAAA